This is a non-coding RNA of Bos taurus (domestic cattle), 72 nucleotides long. NCBI's taxonomy places the organism in Eukaryota, Metazoa, Chordata, Mammalia, Artiodactyla, Bovidae. The record is from Rfam.
UCCCUGGUGGCUCAGAUGGUAAAGAAUCUGCCUGUGAUGUAGGAGACCUGGGUUCAAUCCCCGGGUUGGGAA